UAUAAAUGUGAAUCACACAGUUGCUUUGUUUAAACCACAAUGAUCCGAGGAAACAUUCUUCUUGUCUUUUUAAUUCGUAUGUUGCUAUAUUUUAGCAGCAAAUUCAUCAGUUAUAGACCUCGCCCUAAACUCAACAGCGAUAGACUGUCCAGAAAACCAAGAUAACUCAGUUAAAGGUAGUGGAGACGAUAGUUCAAUAGGAGAUGAGGAUGACGGUAUAACAAUUGACAACGGUAUGCCGAAUAAGGACAUGAGCACUCCAAUGGAGCAUCCUAAUAAAGCAGUAUCAUAUGGUUCAGAGCCAUCUUAUGCACCGCCUGCUGCAGUUAACAGUGGCAGCCUUACAGUACCCGAAACAACAGCAGCCCCUGACUCAACUGGUACAACCCCAGCUCCAGUAGAGACGUGCAUGAUUGACUGUGUGUGCCCCUGUAAAUGGGUCGAGGCGCCGAAAAACUACACAGCAGAGGAACUUAAAGCUGUUGUUACCCAGAUUCAAGAAAAACUCAAAGUGUCCAAAAACUCUCUAAGCUCUACGAUUCGUGCAAAAAGUAGCGCCAAGGACGAAAGAACGGAAGCAUCUGCAGUUGGAAUGGUUGGCGUGGUAUCUUUAGUAGUGAUGUUUGGCGCACUUUUCGUACUUGACCUUACAACAAUUGUACGUGACGUCAGAAUGCUGUUGGGAAACCUACGACAGGUAUUCCAGCCCUAACAUCAUUGCUUGGAGAGAUACAUUUUACGGUUCUGCAGCAAAUUCUCUUCUGUUUGAACCCUUCUUUACAGCUGAUAUUUAGUUUCAGGCGGCGUCACAGCUUCUACAGUUUUUGUUUUUGAUAGUUUAAAAUUAUGUCCUGCGUUGACGCGAAUUUCGAAUUGCUAGGACUUCACAAAAAAGCACAUCAAGACUGAUACAGACGCUAUAGGUAACUUAACUCUAUUCAAACAAUAGAGGUUCUGUUCAUUGUGAUUUAACAAUUACAAACACACUUAAAAUAUUUCUACAGACUGUUUGAGAGAAGUUUUCACAAUCAAGUAUAUUCAUUAUGAGCAGAACAGAAUAGAACAGAUUUUAGUACACAUAAACUAUACAGUUUCUACUGUUUUGCCUCUCAUACAGUUGUUGGUAAAAAUACGUGUAUAUAUGGGAAAUAUAAUCUAAUUGGAUGAACUUAAGAACUUUUUAUGUAAAUUUCAAUAACCUUAAGUAAUCUAAACGGAUUCUUUUAACAAUUUCACGCUAAACACUAAGCAUAGUUUACAAAUCUGCGUAAAAUAUUCAUUUUCUUUUGUAUUUUAAGUAGUUCUGCACGUUUAGUUAACCAGAAGUAAUGACAUAACGUUAUUUAUCCGGAAACCCUAGAAUAAUGCCUGGUAGCCGUUAUACGGUAGCAUAAAUGUUGCGGCGAAUCUGCUAUAUUGUGUGUAUUUAGUGUUGAAACAGUCAGCGCUACUAUAUUUAUAAAGAUUACUUUUGACAAUAAAUAGAUUCUGAUGUAAAAUAAUUCAAAAUAAUAACAUAAAAUACGCUACAAUGUAAGGACUCCAACUGAUAUUUGGUGUAACAUACGAACCUAUAUACAUUUUAUCCGUCCAUAUGAUUGCAAAAAGGUAAAUCCUAAACUAAGAAAGAAAGAAAAAGUUUCAUUGAAAUCUACAUUGAAGACGUCAUCAACAGGGCAAUAAAAGCCCAUUGUAAAACUUGACAGGUGUAGUAAUAUGUCCAAUUCGGUAAUACGAAAAAAAAAAUCUAACACACGUCCUUAAAUUCUAUUGGCUGAAUUCCUUUCGGAAAUAAUAGUCCUAUUAAAAAUAUGGUUUGAUAAAAUUCCACAUUGUAGAACAAUAUUUGUUUCAAACGUGCAGAACUACCUUAAAGAUGAAGUGGAGUGAUUACUGCUUAUAUUGUGCUGAAUUAUAAAUAGUCUAAGAAUCUUGCGCUUUGCUUCUUUUUGAAAGAGUAAAAACGUUAUGGGCACAUGGUGUUUAAGUAUUUCAAUAUAUUUAGUGCUUUAAAAUGAGUGAUUACUAUUUCAGUAAUGUAGUUGGAUGCGAGUGUCUUUUUAAUUUAAUAGCGUUUUAUUAUGUAAAAAGACUCUAAUUACUUGUACGUUUUAGCUGCUGUACUGUUUGUAAUUUAAAGUCAUUGGUGUCACCCUUCCGUUGGCGUAAGCCAACUUUAAGUAGGUAUAUUAGAAAGAAACAAGACAGACUGUUUUCAGACUUAACAUCAUCUUUGUCCCCAGUAGUUGACUCUACAGGGUAUGUUACAUAAGCCUGGUUUACAUUCGCAAUAAACAAUAACCUUAUUAACUAAGAAAUUUCGGCGUAAGUUUUAUUUAUACGCAUGUGUAAAACUGUAUCUGGACCGAACGUUUUCAAAUAAUUUCAAGUCUAAACUAGCUUUUUGUCUCUUUAAAAACCCUUCAGAGCAGUUGCCCUUAUAAUGGAUUCGGUUUAGACAAAACGAUUAUCAUUUCUAAAUGCUCACUACAUAAUUAUCUAAUGUUAAGGCUGCAAAUGUUCACUAUUUAUCUAAUGUUACGGUUUCAAAUGCUCACUACUUAUCUACUGUUAAGUUUGUAAAUGCUCAUUACUUACCUAAUGUUAAAGUGGUAAAUGUUCACUAUUUAUCUAAUGUUAAGAUUGUAAAUGUACACUACUUAUCUAAUGUUACGGUUGCAAAUGAUCACUAUUUAUCUAAUGUUAAGUUUGUAAAUGCUCACUACUUAUCUCAUGUUAAAUUGGUAAAUGCUUACUAUUUAUCUAUUAUUACGUAUGUAAAUGCUCACAAUUUAUCUAAUGUUUAGUUGUUAAAUGCACAAUACUUAUCUUAUGUUCUGUUUGUAAAUGCUCACUAUUUGUCUAAUAUUAGGUAUGUAAAUGCUCACUACUUAUCUAAUGUUAAAUUGGUAAAUGCUCAUUAUUCAUCAAAUAUUACGUCUGUAAAUGCUCACUAUUUAUCUAAUGUUAAAUUGGUAAAUGCUCACUUCAUUUCUAAUAUUACGUCUGUAAAUGCUCAGUAUUUAUCUAAUGUUAAAUUGGUUAAUGUUCAAUAUUUAUAUAAUGUUAAAUUGGUUAAUGCUCACCAUGUAUCUAAAGUUAAGUUUGUAAAUGCUCACUACUUCUCUAAUGUUCAGUUUGUAAAUGCUCACUAUUUAUCUAAAGUUAAGUUUGUAAAUACUCACUAUUUAUCUAAUAUUAAGUUUGUAAAUGCUCACUUUUUCUCUAAACUUAAGUUUGUAAAUGCUCACUAUUUCUCUAAGUUAAGUAUGAUAUUCUAAUAGUUGUGUGUAUAAGUAUAAUAUCCCAUUGUUUUAGUGGUUGAAAUAUUUCUGCUUGUAGCCUCCAAUGUUUCGAAAUCUUGAAUAAUUGUAAAUCACAAAUCUAAUUUCUUGUGCUUUCAUACACAUCCAAUAUCUAAGCUCAAAGUUGCGCAGGUAAAAUUAAAAUCGUUUCAAAAGACCGGAGAUAAAAAGAUAACUGUUUGUCUUACAUAUAAAAUCGACAUAUUCAUUGCUGGAUUUUACAAAUUUUGAUUGCUGUUCUACUCAUGAAACUAUUGAAUCUUCACGGUGUUCACUCGGUGAAAUUCUGUGAUAAAAUGAAAAUCCUCAGUAUAGCUAAGGACAAAUAUUGUAAUGCUCAUUAUGCGAGGUCAUACUAAUUGUGUGUAUUGUAUAUUAAGCGCUUACAAACUACUAUUUGUUUAAUGUAUGAGUAUGUAAAUGUUAUUUACUUAAAUAUUUAUUUUAUGUAAGUUUAAGUCUGUGGUAUCUUACUGACUAUAUGUAGUAUGUAAGAGCUUCCUAGAUAUUAUUUGAAUUAUGCGUGAGUAUGUAAAUGUUAAUUACUUAAAGACUUGUUUCUUAUGUAAGUUUUAAUAUGCAAGGGCUUAUUAGCUACAAUUUGUAAAAUGUCUUUGUAUCUAAAUGUUAUUUACUUAAAGACUUUAAUUAGUGGGUUUUUUUUGUAAGAUUAAGUAUGUAAGGGCUUGUAUGUAGUAUGAAAGAGCUUCCUAGCUACUAUAAUUUGCAUAAUAUGUUAGUAUGUAAAUGUUAUUUACUUAAAGAUUGAUUAUUCUUUGCAAGUUUUAGUAUGUGACGGCAUAUUACUAUAAGUACGAAGUGUGUUAUCAACUGGACGUUGAAUGAUUCGUGUUUGGUUCCCAUCACGUCUCGUGAUCUGUUACCAACUCAUUGAAAAAUGUUAUUGUGGAUUGUAUGUUUUUCGCGUUGCAUUUAUUUCACUGUCAAGAAUCGCGAAUCGCAAGAGAGUUUGCAAGUUGUUCUAUAUUAAUAUUGAUUGAAAUGGAAUCAUCGCGAAUAAUAUCUAGUCUACAGUAUUCCGUUUGUCAAGUAAAGAUUUGUUAUACUUCUAAACCUUUAUAUAUUUGUAUUUUUAAAUUCUAUUAUAUUGUAUUAUGUAUGAUAACGAAUGACAAAAAACCUUAAUACGGCAAGCUUGGACUUAUAGGAAAGGAAAUGGUUUGUUCUUUGAAUGUGGCUUUUCCUGUUGGACUUUGGUCUUUCGUAGUACGGACAAGGUGCAUUUAUAUUACGGAUGUAAUAAAAGUAUUGUUAUGAGAUAUAAUUUACAAAGAAUAAUUUGGAAAUUGAACUUGAAUCUAGUUUUGUUCUCGACUUUCUUUUGGAAUUUUUAAACCCACAGAAAUCUUUCUGGAAAAUAUACCAUCAACAGUGAGGUGCACCAAUAAACAUGUAUAAUGUACAUGGUAUAAGAUGAAUUUGGACAGAUCUACCACAACCAUUUGAUAUUUGUAGGAUAUUGAGCCAUUUUCUUGUAAAACAUAUAUAUCUCUUUAUUCUGAUAAAAUGUAAUCAUUCGUUUUUUAAAUUAAUACACAACUUUAUGCGUAUUUUGUGACUUAUGAAAAAUGUGAUCUUUAGUAAAAUGAAUAAGAUUAUAUCAUUGCGUAAUUUCAUACUUCUGAAGUUUAGAUAUGUUGUUAAUGAAAUAGCGUUUUAGUAAUUUCUAAGAAAUUGGCUAUAUAGCAAAUGGCGGGUUGACGGUUUUGUUUAGUAUAUACAUGUAUUUCACUGUGAUCACUGUUAGAUCAAUUCCCAAGUUGUACGUUCUGGAAUUGUUAUCGUAGGUGCCUGGGCCUGUUUCACAAAAAAUAUAGAAUGACUCAUUCUAUAAGAAUCUUUCACUGGUGGAAGGUGCGGAUGGAAAUAUCUGGCGCGAGGAUGACUGUUAAGCCGUUACGAGGCUCUGCAGAGUUACCGCAAAAAGAGUUAACCAAGUAUCGGAAGCUUCUACCUACACCUACAAACAUUCCUGCAUAUAGUGUUCAUAAAAUGUUAGAACAAAUAAAGUAAAACGUAUGUUUUUUUAAGUACAAUGCUAGCGCUCAUUCAUAAGGUACAGGACAUUAGUCAUUUAACUCCACGGGAUGUAAACGAGCUUUUCCUGCCUAGGCGACACGUGAAAUCCUGGCAUGCAUGUAAAAAUAAUUGUCUCCUACAAAUUGGCAUUUUACACCACAACCAUUUCAUAGAACAUAAAUUACAUCGUCUCCUAAGAAUGUGUGUUCGCCUCACAACUUUUUCAUAGACUAUAACUAAAACUUUGUUAACAAUAUUAUUUUUUGUUCGACUCUGGUCUUUGCAGUAAUGAAUUUCGGAGAUGGUCGUUCCACUUACUGUUCAAUCAAAUCGGUUACAGGGAUUUUUUUACACUUGUACUGAAAAAUAUAUUCCAUUUGUGAUAUUUAUUAAUUGAGAUAUUCUGAACGCUUUGAGCAGUACAUUUACAAGUAAAACCAAACUAGAAAUUUUAAAACAUUUUUUUGUCAUCAAUGGCUGAAAUGCACAAUAGCACAAUGGUAUUCGCACAGCCAAAUCCGCUUAAAACUUUUCAAAUCAAGUUAUUUUCAAAAUUAGAGCAGCUCCUGUCUGUCACUACCUUACAAGUUCAUUACUUUAACAAUUUUGAUAAUGAAUGUUACGAAUUGUUUUGUCUUAUAUUUCAAGACAAAUCAUGGAAAACCAUUGUUAAUUAAAACAAGUUCAAAUUGUAUUUUAAAGAUGGUUAAUCAGAUUUUGAUCAAUAAAUGGAUUUGGUGGGAGGUUUAACAAAUAAUCAUUUACACUUAUUUGUGUUCACUGUCUGCUUAAAACAUGUUAGAAUUUCACAGAAGGUAUUUUUGACAUUUUGAUUCCCCUUUCCUUGUUAAGUAUUAAAGGGGAGUAAUUACAAAUGUCAUAAAGAAAUAAUGAAACAUACAUUUCUAAUAGGGAUAUAACUCUGUGGAACGGACCCUUUUGCUCCUUUGAUUAAACUCUUAUAGAAUGUACUAAAAACGGAACAUUUCAUAAAAUGUUGCUUAAAUGUGACUGACCACCUUUAAUUAGCUUCGUGAAACAGACCCCAUACCAUUUCCUUGGAAUGUAACAAGAAGUCCAAUUCAAGGAGCGUACAUGACAAGGUUUCCUAUAUUAUAUAUUAGAUGUGAAAACUGUUACAGCUAUAGCUAUUGUAAUCAUUGUUAUGCGAUACUGCAUUUUCAAAUAAAUUAUCU
Mercenaria mercenaria is the source of this 6541-nucleotide long non-coding RNA. RefSeq lists it as uncharacterized. NCBI's taxonomy places the organism in Eukaryota, Metazoa, Mollusca, Bivalvia, Venerida, Veneridae. The transcript is spliced from 3 exons. The record is from RefSeq and is a predicted model, not a curated record.